Molecule: long non-coding RNA, 619 nt
Organism: Notothenia coriiceps (black rockcod)
Lineage: Eukaryota; Metazoa; Chordata; Actinopteri; Perciformes; Nototheniidae
Exons: 4
Source: RefSeq, a predicted model, not a curated record
UGCCCGGGCGGAGGGGGACACCUGCGGGGGGACGUGGGACUAUCUGGGCAAAUGUGACGAGGGCCUGCUGUGUGUUUACCAGGAGUCAGGAGCAGAGGACAAACCAGACACAGAGCGCAGAGGCGUCUGUGAAGCAGUGAUUGAAUCAUUGGAUCCAGAGAGCUGUCACCCAGAGUGCACCAGGGCGUACUGUCAGGCAAACCACACGGAAAUCUGCUCUGCCAGGCUUGUCUCUCUGGAGAAGACAGCAUGCCAGGGCUCCUGCCAACACACCUCCUGUUCAAGCUGUCUGCUCCUGAAACCCCCAUCAUGCACUCAGACCUGCACCCCCGCUGACUCAUCGUGCCUGCGCCAGUUUGGGAAGUGUGUGCACAAUCACCUGAAAGCCACUCAUAACACUGUAUGCAACAACAACCUGCAGAGUCAUCCUGAGGGGCAUUUUCUGUGUCUGGUCCCCGCCUGUCCAAACACAGUGAAGGUGUAAAAAGAGUACAUUUUCAUUGGUUCAUGUAGCAAAAUGGAAAAAGGCAGCUAUAUAUAAACUUUGUGUAUAACUUCAAUAUUUUUUUAUCAAACAAUCCCAUUUGUAAGCAAUGUUAACUGAAUAAAAGCUGUGAAA